Molecule: ribosomal RNA, 460 nt
Filed under: uncultured bacterium
Lineage: Bacteria
Description: partial 16S ribosomal RNA
Rfam family: Bacterial small subunit ribosomal RNA
Source: RNAcentral
CCUACGGUCGGCAGCAGUGAGGAAUAUUGGUCAAUGGGCGCGAGCCUGAACCAGCCAAGUAGCGUGAAGGAUGACUGCCCUACGGGUUGUAAACUUCUUUUAUAAAGGAAUAAAGUGAGGCACGUGUGCCUUUUUGUAUGUACUUUAUGAAUAAGGAUCGGCUAACUCCGGCCCAGCAGCCGCGGUAAUCCGGAGGAUCCGAGCGUUAUCCGGAUUUAUUGGGGUUAAAGGGAGCGUAGAUGGGUUGUUAAGUCAGUUGUGAAAGUUUGCGGCUCAACCGUAAAAUUGCAGUUGAAACUGGCAGUCUUGAGUAAAGUAGAGGUGGGCGGAAUUCGUGGUGUAGCGGUGAAAUGCUUAGAUAUCACGAAGAACUCCGAUUGCGAAGGCAGCUCACUGGACUGCAACUGACACUGAGGCUCGAAAGUGUGGGUAUCAAACAGGAUUAGAUACCCUGGUAGUC